RNAcentral lists this ribosomal RNA (497 nucleotides) under uncultured bacterium. RNAcentral's name for it is "partial 16S ribosomal RNA". It matches the Rfam family "Bacterial small subunit ribosomal RNA", at positions 28 to 507 of the family's 1533-position model. The record is from RNAcentral.
GAUGAACGCUGGCGGCGUGCCUAAUACAUGCAAGUCGAGCGAACGGACGAGAAGCUUGCUUCUCUGAUGUUAGCGGCGGACGGGUGAGUAACACGUGGAUAACCUACCUAUAAGACUGGGAUAACUUCGGGAAACCGGAGCUAAUACCGGAUAAUAUUAUGAACCGCAUGGUUCAAAAGUGAAAGACGGUCUUGCUGUCACUUAUAGAUGGAUCCGCGCUGCAUUAGCUAGUUGGUAAGGUAACGGCUUACCAAGGCAACGAUGCAUAGCCGACCUGAGAGGGUGAUCGGCCACACUGGAACUGAGACACGGUCCAGACUCCUACGGGAGGCAGCAGUAGGGAAUCUUCCGCAAUGGGCGGAAGCCUGACGGAGCAACGCCGCGUGAGUGAUGAAGUUCUUCGGAUCGUAAAACUCUGUUAUUAGGGAAGAACAUAUGUGUAAGUAACUGUGCACAUCUUGACGGUACCUAAUCAGAAAGCCACGGCUAACUACGUG